CCGUUGGUCCAGCUUGUCGACCGACAGGGAGUCCUUCGAUUCAUUGCUCUGAGCAGAGAUUUGGAAGCAUCGCCAAGCGAGCUGUUGAUCCCCGUGCAUUUUUCUGGCUCCAUUUUUAGUCGAAAACCGAACCAGCAAGUAGUAUGUCGAGAUGAUCGCUCUGAGGGUGUUUAGUCCGGACCUUCCAAGUAUGACAUUGUAGGCCGAAGGUACUUGGACGAUCGUGAAUGUCAUGUGGACGAUACUUUAUCUUGGUUCGGUCCCAGCC
Molecule: long non-coding RNA, 268 nt
Filed under: Elaeis guineensis (African oil palm)
Lineage: Eukaryota; Viridiplantae; Streptophyta; Magnoliopsida; Arecales; Arecaceae
Description: long non-coding RNA (EGUI_LNC005948)
Source: RNAcentral